RNAcentral lists this ribosomal RNA (838 nucleotides) under uncultured bacterium. RNAcentral's name for it is "bacterial SSU rRNA". It matches the Rfam family "Bacterial small subunit ribosomal RNA", at positions 28 to 882 of the family's 1533-position model. The record is from RNAcentral.
GACGAACGCUGGCGGCGUGCUUAACACAUGCAAGUCGAGCGAUGAAACACCUUCGGGUGUGAAUUAGCGGCGAACGGGUGAGGAACACGUGAGAAAUCUGCCUUCAACACUGGGAUAACUCCGGGAAACCGGGGCUAAUACCGGAUAUGAAUCUGCGGGCAUCCGCGGAUUUGGAAAGUUUUUCGGUUGAAGAUGAUCUCGCGGCCUAUCAGCUUGUUGGUGAGGUAAUGGCUCACCAAGGCGACGACGGGUAGCCGGCCUGAGAGGGCGACCGGCCACACUGGGACUGAGACACGGCCCAGACUCCUACGGGAGGCAGCAGUGGGGAAUAUUGGGCAAUGGAGGAAACUCUGACCCAGCGACGCCGCGUGCGGGAUGAAGGCCUUCGGGUUGUAAACCGCUUUCAGCAGGGAAGAAGCGAAAGUGACGGUACCUGCAGAAGAAGCACCGGCUAACUAUGUGCCAGCAGCCGCGGUAAUACAUAGGGUGCAAGCGUUGUCCGGAAUUAUUGGGCGUAAAGAGCUCGUAGGUGGUUCGUCACGUCGGAUGUGAAACUCUGGGGCUUAACCCCAGACCUGCAUUCGAUACGGGCGAGCUUGAGUAUGGUAGGGGAGUCUGGAAUUCCUGGUGUAGCGGUGGAAUGCGCAGAUAUCAGGAGGAACACCAAUGGCGAAGGCAGGACUCUGGGCCAUUACUGACACUGAGGAGCGAAAGCGUGGGGAGCGAACAGGAUUAGAUACCCUGGUAGUCCACGCCGUAAACGGUGGGCACUAGUUGUGGGGACCUUCCACGGUCUCUGCGACGCAGCUAACGCAUUAAGUGCCCCGCCUGGGGAGUA